UACGGAGGGGGCUAGCGUUGUUCGGAAUUAUUGGGCGUAAAGCGCACGUAGGCGGCUUUGCAAGUUAGAGGUGAAAGCCCGGGGCUCAACUCCGGAAUUGCCUUUAAAACUGCAUCGCUAGAAUUGUGGAGAGGUAAGUGGAAUUCCGAGUGUAGAGGUGAAAUUCGUAGAUAUUCGGAAGAACACCAGUGGCGAAGGCGACUUACUGGACACAUAUUGACGCUGAGGUGCGAAAGCGUGGGGAGCAAACAGG
Molecule: ribosomal RNA, 253 nt
Filed under: uncultured bacterium
Lineage: Bacteria
Description: partial 16S ribosomal RNA
Rfam family: Bacterial small subunit ribosomal RNA
Source: RNAcentral